Long non-coding RNA from Amphibalanus amphitrite, 1526 nucleotides. RefSeq lists it as uncharacterized. The record is from RefSeq and is a predicted model, not a curated record. The transcript is spliced from 3 exons. NCBI's taxonomy places the organism in Eukaryota, Metazoa, Arthropoda, Thecostraca, Balanomorpha, Balanidae.
UAGCGCAGAGUUUCAGGCGCGCUCUCUGGCCCUGCUCUGGCCUAGGCUUGCACGGUUUAUAUUGAUAUUGAUGUUUAUUAUUUGCGUUCUGAAUUGAUUGGGCAGUGCCUUAGUUUGAUUGCUUUUUUCGUGUGAUAUCGUUGCAUUUUGGGAAGUCGAUUUGGAACUUUGGGAGCAAUGGCGACUGCAUCGCGUUCUUCCUUGUCGGCCUGGAAACGUGACGUCGAUGACAAUACUGUGGAAUAUUUUAUUUUUCCUGAACUUUCCUCCUGUUCGACCAAGGUUGAGGCUCAUGAGCGACUGAAAGACUUCAAAGAUAAAUGCAUGAGUACUGUGCAGAGUGAUCUUGAGGCAUACAUCUGGCAGAAUGAGCCAUUUGCCCUUCAUGUUCCUCCUGAAUCUAGGUUCCAGCUGGUGCCUAGUGGCAAAGCUUGCUCAAGUGCAGAAAGUGGAAAAGAUGUGCUUCCUCCAUUCCUGUGGGGUCGGACCUGCUACGCAGACAGUGUGGACGACGAGUGGUUCAUAGUGUACCUGGUGACCCGGCUGACGAGGGAGUUUCCCGGCGCUGUGGGCAGCCGGAUCGGGCGUGGUCUGAAGCAUUAGUCGCCGACGUCGGAGGUCUGGCGUUUCUGGUGGAAGUGCUGCGUUUUCUGGUCGAUUUGCCACCCGGCAUCUGUGCUGGAGCGACGAAGCGCGCCGGCCUCGGCGCGGCGGCCACUGACCGCGCCGGCAUUGCCGCAUCGCUGCGCCGUGACCGCCACGCUGCGCCAGGUGCGCCGCAGAAGCCGCCGAUCGCCCUGUGCGCCAUGGAUGUCUCAAGGGUGGGAUUGGGUUCCUGGGGUCGCGAGUGGUUUCGUUUUUAGGAUUUUUGUGUGUGUGUGUGAAACUGGAAGAACGGGAGUUUCGUGCUGGGUGAAUCGUACGGUUAUUCUAAGAAAGAUGGUGUAAAAAUGGUGCGGUUUAGAUCCUCUUAGCCUGGAAGACUAGCCUUGUUUGUGGAUGUUUUCAUUUGGCGUGGAUGCUUGCACUGUGCGGUAUUUUUUCUAGAGCAUUGCACUUAGCGCAUGCUUAAUCUUUUUUAAGUUGCAGAACUUCACAGGAAGGGCAAUCUGCUUUCUUCUGUCAAGAUUAUCCAUCUGAAAGGAGUUUCGGCACAUCUUAAGUUCGCUCUAGAUGUAAACGGGACUGUAAAAGUGCCUUUUUGAGCUGUAUUAUUUGCGGUGAAAUCUUCUUCUAGGAGCGCGUUGUGCCUUGACCGUCGUUCAUCGUUACCUCACUUAGCGUUUCCAUGAAUGACAACCAGCUUGGAUUUCACCAACGGCGGCGGCAUUUGAGGACCUCUAUACCUUGCCAGUGCCUGGUUCGGCCUGUCGUGAAUGAAAACCAGUUUGAAUGAACUGACCGAGGGGUUUUAAUAGAUAACUUGUCCUGUCUAUUGUGACUGCAAACAUUUCGCUGGCAGUUGACGCCAACUGCCAAAUUCCGCAUUAAUUAGCUCCGGUAAUAAACCAUUAUCAACAAUCAAA